RNAcentral lists this ribosomal RNA (468 nucleotides) under uncultured bacterium. RNAcentral describes it as "partial 16S ribosomal RNA". It matches the Rfam family "Bacterial small subunit ribosomal RNA", at positions 28 to 507 of the family's 1533-position model. The record is from RNAcentral.
GACGAACGCUGGCGGCGUGCUUAGCACAUGCAAGUCGAACGGAAAGGCCCUGCUUUUGUGGGGUGCUCGAGUGGCGAACGGGUGAGUAACACGUGAGUAACCUGCCCUUGACCUUGGGAUAACUUCAGGAAACUGGGGCUAAUACCGGAUAGGAGCUCCUGCUGCAUGGUGGGGGUUGGAAAGUUUCGGCGGUUGGGGAUGGACUCGCGGCUUAUCAGCUUGUUGGUGGGGUAGUGGCUUACCAAGGCUUUGACGGGUAGCCGGCCUGGGAGGGUGACCGGCCACAUUGGGACUGAGAUACGGCCCAGACUCCUACGGGAGGCAGCAGUGGGGAAUAUUGCACAAUGGGCGGAAGCCUGAUGCAGCAACGCCGCGUGCGGGAUGACGGCCUUCGGGUUGUAAACCGCUUUCGCCUGUGACGAAGCGUGAGUGACGGUAAUGGGUAAAGAAGCACCGGCUAACUACGUG